UACAGGUGGAAGAUGCAACCAAAGCUCUUGAAGCAACCAAUGGAACAACCCUAGAAAAAAAUGGCCAAGUCCUACGUGUAGCAUAUGCAAAAAGUAUUCAUGGACCUGGAUCUGGGACUCCACAAUCGAGCAGUCUUGCAGCAGCUGCUAUUGAGGCCGCAACAUUUGCUCAACAGGUCUUAGCCAUCAGCAUUUGUUAUAUAAUUUAAUUUUUUAAUGUCUUAUACAUGUCUGGUUCACUUUUCCACUUUGUGGGUCAUGAACUGUGCACUCAAUAAUGCGUAGGUUUCACAGUUUUGAAAAUGAUCAAAUUCUCACUUUUGAGCUGCAACAAAUUGUGCCAGUCAUGAUGGCCUUGUCAUAGUUGACAUUAUUCUUUGCAAAAUUUUCUGUAGUCUGUUGGAUUUCUGUGCAUGUAUACUCCUAAAAAUGGAUUUUUUUUAAUUCGUAUCAAUAUCUUAAAAAACUUAGAUUUCUUGUAGAAAUGCCUGAACUAUCACUGAUAUUUCCUGAGGGCUCUUUGACAGUGAUUUUUCUUUGGAUAACUAUAAUUAGACAUGAACUACAACCUUUUGCCAAACAUCCAAAUGGUUUAAGAAAUUUUAUGAAUGCCCUCUCAAAUUAAAGAUUUUGCAGAAGUCCACUUCAGAGAAUAUAAAUUUUAUUAUAAAAAAACCCAUUAAAAAUCUUAAUGAUGCCUUUUGAAGUAAAUGCCUUAAGAAAGUCAAAUGGUAGGGACAUGGUUAAUUUAAGGUAUUAUAGCGUCUGACCUUCUAACAUGACUUUUGUUUAACUGUAAUGCAUUUAACAUCAAACCAUGGGGACAUUUGUGCAAGGAAUUUAUUUUCUGGAGAUACUGUAGAGGUGCAAUUGUGCAAUUUUAAGUCAAGGCUAUAUUUUCAAACUACCAGAGCAUGCUCUUGAUUUGCAUGUCUCUGUAGUUCUCAUCUUGGUUUAGAUUAGGGUGUGAAGCCAAUAUGCCGUUAUUGUAUGUUGAAAUUGUUUUUACCACUAAACCUUUGCAUGAAUGGAUGUAGCCAAGGUAGCAUGUUGGACCUCUAUGGACUUUGGAUGCCAUAUGAUUUACUGACAUGUACUUGUCAAGAUCACCGAAUGAAAUUUUUUUUUAAUGAGUGGUUGUACCGAUUGGUACUUAGUUGCAUGGUCCAUUAUUGAUGCAUGAUCCAUUAUUGAUGCAUCAUCAGACCAGUAAAUAUCAGUCAGUAUUUACCAGUCCGACCAGUAUUUAAACCAUGGAGGCAAAUUCUGUAUGGACUUUGAACUGCCUUACCUGAGUAUGCUUCUCAGUUUAUUCUUUUUGAGAUGGCAGUUCAUGAUUCUCGUAUGGCCAAUAAAAUAUCUGCUGGAUGAUGGGAAGUUUCCAGUGUGUCCAAUUCUCAUUGUUUUGAUGUUCUUGCCAUAUAUCUUGAUUACUCCUUUAUUAUGGCCUUCAUAUUAGCAGAUUUAAUAGAAAGCACACCGGAAAUUUACCUGUUGAGAUGCAUGACAACAUCUCAAAUCACACUCUAAAGAAAUUAUCCCUUCUUAAUAGAACUCAAAUUUUCUUUAAAUCAAAUUGAACUGUAUAUUCAUCUAGCUGUUUGUCUUGUCUAAGUCUUUUGGUACAUAGAAUGAUAGAAGAUUUGCUGAUUGUCUCCCUGUUUCAUAAAAUCACUCUUUUGCUUUUACAUAUAUUAAAAGUCCCUAUAAAGUGGUCUCAGUGUCAUACUUUAUGAUUUGAUCUAGCUGUUUGUCUUGUCUAAUUCUUUUGGUACAUAGAAUGAUAGAAGAUUUGCUGAUUGUCUCCCUGUUUCAUAAAAUCACUCUUUGGCUUUUACAUAUAUUAAAAGUCCCUAUAAAGUGGUCUCAGUGUUAUACUUUAUGAGUUGAUUUUGUAAUGCUUCCUCACAUACUUUAUGGUAUACAAACUUUAAGAAAUACAACUUCUGCACAUGUGUACUGAGUAAAAUUUUCAUUAAUAUUGAUUUAAUUUACCUUUUCUAUUUGUGUCAAUCACUCACUGCUUCAUGGGUUAACAUCUUUAGCUACAUAUUGGUGAGCCAAAAUAGUAAUUAUUUAGACUCAAUUAUUGCAUCAAUUUGCAUAUUAUUUUUUUCUUUUCAUUGGUUGUCAAGGUACUACUCAAUUGUAAUGUCAACCAUAGACUACUAUAAUUGCUGCUAUAUCUAUUUGGCUUCUUUUAUUUAUUUUGUUCAGUAUGAUGCUGUUGGUUGGACGCCAAAGGAAUACAAUCCAGAUCAAAAACAAUCUACAACUGGGUUUGAGCAAAAUAGCAAGGCAGAAGUUCAGAGAGGUGGUUCUGCUCCACAAUCUGGGUUUGUAUGGGAUGAGAAAUCUGGCUAUUAUUAUGAUGCUGCCUCAGGGU
Molecule: long non-coding RNA, 2386 nt
Filed under: Musa acuminata (dwarf banana)
Lineage: Eukaryota; Viridiplantae; Streptophyta; Magnoliopsida; Zingiberales; Musaceae
Description: long non-coding RNA (MACU_LNC000264)
Source: RNAcentral